Molecule: long non-coding RNA, 321 nt
Filed under: Androctonus crassicauda
Lineage: Eukaryota; Metazoa; Arthropoda; Arachnida; Scorpiones; Buthidae
Source: RNAcentral
AUAAACUGUACAAAGUUUGGUCUAUUGGCUCAUAUCCAGAACUGGACUUGUAUAGAGACAAACUGCAUGAUCGUAGGAGCGCCUUUUCUAGAAAUUAAAAGAUGGAUACAGAAAGUGAUACAAAUGCGAUUCGUUUUUCCACGACACACGUGAAGGGGAAGAAGUCGUUGCAGGGAAAUGUGGAAAAACAGGAAAGCGACUUGUCAAAAGUACAAAUUUCCCAGUGGAUUGAUGACAAAAACAAUCAAGGACAACUUAACGAAAACACGGAAACUCUUUGUGACUUUGAAGAAAAAUCGGUAGAAAACAUAACCCACAGAU